UACGUAGGGUGCAAGCGUUGUCCGGAAUUAUUGGGCGUAAAGAGCUCGUAGGCGGUCUGUCGCGUCUGCUGUGAAAACUCAGGGCUUAGCCCUGAGCUUGCAGUGGGUACGGGCAGACUAGAGUGCGGUAGGGGAGACUGGAAUUCCUGGUGUAGCGGUGAAAUGCGCAGAUAUCAGGAGGAACACCGGUGGCGAAGGCGGGUCUCUGGGCCGUAACUGACGCUGAGGAGCGAAAGCAUGGGGAGCGAACAGG
This 253-nucleotide ribosomal RNA is filed under the name uncultured bacterium. Its description in RNAcentral is "partial 16S ribosomal RNA". It matches the Rfam family "Bacterial small subunit ribosomal RNA", at positions 524 to 776 of the family's 1533-position model. The record is from RNAcentral.